AUCCAGCUGACGAGUUCCGAAUGGGACGAAAUGCGCGUCCAGGAU
Non-coding RNA from Schistosoma haematobium, 45 nucleotides. The record is from Rfam. Lineage: Eukaryota; Metazoa; Platyhelminthes; Trematoda; Strigeidida; Schistosomatidae.